This 985-nucleotide long non-coding RNA is filed under the name Helianthus annuus (common sunflower). Lineage: Eukaryota; Viridiplantae; Streptophyta; Magnoliopsida; Asterales; Asteraceae. The record is from RNAcentral.
AUGCACAAUCGACUUCAUCACUCUCACUGAGUACAAAUCCAAGAUCAUCGUCGACAACCCAUCUCGGGCUGGCCUCCCUAAUCCGACAAUUAUGACCGGCACCGAUUCAUACCAACAGUUGACACUAAGUUAUGGAUCCUUUUUCUCGUCGUGGUCGUCGUCCACUGCUUCCGCCCAGGUUUGGUGGGAUUGAAAAAGUCCCAACAUGCUUGAAUCGUGAACUGGCUGAAAGGAAGCAUGAAAUUAUACCUCUUGACAGGUGACAUACGGAACUUCACUAAUGUGUUGUUGCGAUUAAACAUUUUGUAACGGGAAACUUACCUUGCUCUAUUUUACUUUAAGGGUUAUUUUUUUGUCUCUGUGUAUCGGCUUUGAUAGGCAUGGGAGAAUUAACAUGCCUGAUGCAUUCUUUAUCCGACAAUCAUGUAAGUUUUGAUAAAUUAAGGGUUUUUGUUAUUCAGUACCAAAUGUCCGAUGAAUUGAGUUUGUUUGAAGCAUGUUUUAUUGUAAUGUUCGUGGUUUUGGAUUGGUUGAGUACGGUUUGGGGUGUUGUUUGGAUCGUAUUUUGUAGGGAAACAAUGUACAUGCUCUUGGGGAUUCAGCCGACCCAUGGGGGUGCUUUUUUUAGGGAAUCGAAAUUAGUGAAAGAAGGAAUUGGAAUUAUUUCCACUAGAAAAUUAUGAGGUCUUUGGUUUAUAUAUUGUUCAAGGAAUUUGGUGAAAGCAUUAAGGAGUUUAUUAAUGAAGAAAUUGGUGAUGGCAUCUAUACUUUUUUCCCUGCUUUGUGGACAAAGUAAAAGGUCUAGACUGGGGGUCAUGUACAUGGUGAAAAUCUAAUCCUAACUAGCAAGAGUUUGCAGAAGUCAAGAUCCAUGUAUAGUUUCGUCGAUUGCCUGUGUUGUUCAUAGUUUCAUAACGGCAUUAAUACUACACUUGUCUAAGACGCGUUUGUAGAUCUCAAACAAAUCACUCAUUUAUGUUUCUUC